GCGAGACUGCCGGUAAGUAAACCGGAGGAAGGUGGGGAGUGACGUCAAAUCAUCAUGCCCCUUAUGACCUGGGCUACACACGUGCUACAAUGGUUGGUACAACGAGUUGCGAGUCGGUGACGGCGAGCUAAUCUCUUAAAGCCAAUCUCAGUUCGGAUUGUAGGCUGCAACUCGCCUACAUGAAGUCGGAAUCGCUAGUAAUCGCGGAUCAGCACGCCGCGGUCGAAUACGUUCCCGGGCCUU
This 243-nucleotide ribosomal RNA is filed under the name uncultured Streptococcus sp. Its description in RNAcentral is "partial 16S ribosomal RNA". It matches the Rfam family "Bacterial small subunit ribosomal RNA", at positions 1143 to 1382 of the family's 1533-position model. The record is from RNAcentral. Lineage: Bacteria; Bacillati; Bacillota; Bacilli; Lactobacillales; Streptococcaceae.